RNAcentral lists this ribosomal RNA (770 nucleotides) under uncultured bacterium. RNAcentral's name for it is "bacterial SSU rRNA". It matches the Rfam family "Bacterial small subunit ribosomal RNA", at positions 8 to 796 of the family's 1533-position model. The record is from RNAcentral.
AGAGUUUGAUCCUGGCUCAGGACGAACGCUGGCGGCGUGCUUAACACAUGCAAGUCGAGCGGAAAGGCCCUUCGGGGUACUCGAGCGGCGAACGGGUGAGUAACACGUGGGCAACCUGCCCUCAGCUCUGGGAUAACUCCGGGAAACCGGGGCUAAUACCGGAUACGACCUCUGCCGGCAUCGGUGGUGGUGGAAAGUUCUUCGGCUGAGGAUGGGCCCGCGGCCUAUCAGCUUGUUGGUGGGGUGAUGGCCUACCAAGGCGACGACGGGUAGCCGGCCUGAGAGGGCGACCGGCCACACUGGGACUGAGACACGGCCCAGACUCCUACGGGAGGCAGCAGUGGGGAAUAUUGCGCAAUGGGCGGAAGCCUGACGCAGCGACGCCGCGUGAGGGAUGAAGGCCUUCGGGUUGUAAACCUCUUUCAGCAGGGACGAAGCGAGAGUGACGGUACCUGCAGAAGAAGCACCGGCCAACUACGUGCCAGCAGCCGCGGUAAUACGUAGGGUGCAAGCGUUGUCCGGAAUUAUUGGGCGUAAAGAGCUCGUAGGCGGUCUGUCGCGUCGGCUGUGAAAACUCGGGGCUCAACCCCGAGCCUGCAGUCGAUACGGGCAGACUAGAGUGCUGUAGGGGAGACUGGAAUUCCUGGUGUAGCGGUGAAAUGCGCAGAUAUCAGGAGGAACACCGGUGGCGAAGGCGGGUCUCUGGGCAGUAACUGACGCUGAGGAGCGAAAGCGUGGGGAGCGAACAGGAUUAGAUACCCUAGUAGUCC